CUGAUUUUUGUUAGAAAAUGGGAUUUUCGGAUCUUGUUGUGGUCACACACGAUUUCUUGGUGAAGAAGGAUAGAAGGUUCGAGACCCCCUAUAUAUUGGGGUGAUUUCUCGGAUUUUGGGGGGUUCAGAGGAAAAAUCGGAAAAAGAGGAGAAAAGAAAAAGAGAAUAAGAACUAGGGUUUCGAUUUUGAUUCUUUUCCUCUGAACUAUAAAAGAAAAAUCAGUUUCAUAUAGUUGGCAUUUUACUUAAAGAAUCAGAAAAGAAAACAUAAAAAAAAAUUUGAAUCCCUCUUCUUCUCCUGAUUUUGAUUUUUGUUUGAAACAUGGAAUUUGUUUGAGUCUGUGCUGGAGUUUGGAGCAGCCGUCCGAGGCUUGUCCGCGGUCUUAAUUGCAAUCCAUUUGUUCGAGCAGCCGUCCGAGACAUUGGAUCUAUUAGUAUCUUCCUUUCAUCCUUGGCGAUUAUUUCUUUUACUAGGGUUUGUGUAAGAUUUGGAGUACUCUAGUGUUC
This 507-nucleotide long non-coding RNA is filed under the name Nicotiana benthamiana. RNAcentral's name for it is "long non-coding RNA (NBEN_LNC021421)". Lineage: Eukaryota; Viridiplantae; Streptophyta; Magnoliopsida; Solanales; Solanaceae. The record is from RNAcentral.